This 305-nucleotide ribosomal RNA is filed under the name uncultured bacterium. RNAcentral describes it as "bacterial SSU rRNA". It matches the Rfam family "Bacterial small subunit ribosomal RNA", at positions 334 to 654 of the family's 1533-position model. The record is from RNAcentral.
GUGCCUACGGGGCGCAGCAGUGGGGAAUAUUGGGCAAUGGGCGCAAGCCUGACCCAGCAACGCCGCGUGAAGGAAGAAGGCUUUCGGGUUGUAAACUUCUUUUGUCAGGGACGAAGCAAGUGACGGUACCUGACGAAUAAGCCACGGCUAACUACGUGCCAGCAGCCGCGGUAAUACGUAGGUGGCAAGCGUUAUCCGGAUUUACUGGGUGUAAAGGGAGCGUAGACGGCAUGGCAAGUCUGAAGUGAAAGCCCGGGGCUCAACCGCGGGCCUGCUUUGGAAACUGUGCAGCUAGAGUGCGGGAG